CGAGCGCAACCCUUGUCCUUAGUUACCAGCACGUUAUGGUGGGCGACUCUAAGGAGACUGCCGGUGACAACCGGAGGAAGGUGGGGAUGACGUCAAGUCAUCAUGGCCCUUACGGCCUGGGCUACACACGUGCUACAAUGGUCGGUACAAAGGGUUGCCAAGCCGCGAGGUGGAGCUAAUCCCAUAAAACCGAUCGUAGUCCGGAUCGCAGUCUGCAACUCGACUGCGUGAAGUCGGAAUCGCUAGUAAUCGUGAAUCAGAAUGUCACGGUGAAUACGUUCCCGGGCCUU
Molecule: ribosomal RNA, 290 nt
Filed under: uncultured Pseudomonas sp.
Lineage: Bacteria; Pseudomonadati; Pseudomonadota; Gammaproteobacteria; Pseudomonadales; Pseudomonadaceae
Description: partial 16S ribosomal RNA
Rfam family: Bacterial small subunit ribosomal RNA
Source: RNAcentral